ACGGGAGGCAGCAGUGGGGAAUAUUGCACAAUGGGCGCAAGCCUGAUGCAGCAACGCCGCGUGAGCGAUGAAGGCCUUCGGGUCGUAAAGCUCUGUUCUGGGGGAAGAAGAAAGUGACGGUACCUCAGGAGAAAGCCCCGGCUAACUACGUGCCAGCAGCCGCGGUAAUACGUAGGGGGCAAGCGUUGUCCGGAAUUAUUGGGCGUAAAGAGUACGUAGGCGGUCUUAUAAGCGCAAGGUGAAAGGCAUAGGCUCAACCAAUGUCAGCCUUGCGAACUGUAGGACUUGAGUGCAGGAGGGGAAAGUGGAAUUCCUAGUGUAGCGGUGAAAUGCGUAGAUAUUAGGAGGAACACCAGUGGCGAAGGCGACUUUCUGGACUGUAACUGACGCUGAGGUACGAAAGCGUGGGGAGCAAACAGGAUUAGAUACCCUGGUA
This 436-nucleotide ribosomal RNA is filed under the name uncultured Anaerovorax sp. Its description in RNAcentral is "partial 16S ribosomal RNA". It matches the Rfam family "Bacterial small subunit ribosomal RNA", at positions 341 to 792 of the family's 1533-position model. Lineage: Bacteria; Bacillati; Bacillota; Clostridia; Peptostreptococcales; Anaerovoracaceae. The record is from RNAcentral.